Molecule: long non-coding RNA, 624 nt
Organism: Xyrauchen texanus (razorback sucker)
Lineage: Eukaryota; Metazoa; Chordata; Actinopteri; Cypriniformes; Catostomidae
Exons: 3
Source: RefSeq, a predicted model, not a curated record
UACAUUUGAGGGCAUUUAAAUAUUGUAACAUGUAGGUGCUGGACUGAAUGACCCAGCAGAAGAUGUAACAGUUCCAAAAAUAUUUAUGAAUAAAGUCAGUAAUGCGCCACCGUGCAGAGUAGAGAGUAGUGUGUUCUUCAGUGGAGUGUGUGCAUCGUGGAAGCCAGGAGGAGCUUGGCAGAAUCAUCCACAGAAGCUUGGCGAUGAGAGAGAUGUCCAGCGGACAAUGCGAGCAACAGCAGAAGUGAAGAUCUCCGGCACGCAGGCAUAGAGUGAAAUUCCUUUGAGGAUUGCCUGGCUGAACUCAGCGAAGACUGGAUGGCAAACCACAACACAAACUUCGCAAACAAAUCAACAGAGUGACAAGACAGGACCGGCCAGACAAGGAGAGCGAGGUUUCCCAAAUGUUAUCGGUGCACUGGACUGCACCCAUGUGCGUAUUAAGUGUCCGUCUGGUCCACAUGAAGCAGACUUUGUGAAUAGGAAAUCAGUACACAGCAUCAAUGUACAGAUGAUUAGUGAUGCAGAUUGCAUCAUCACAAAUGUAGAGGCCAAAUGGCCAGGCUCUGUGCAUGACUCCAGAAUCUUUAGAGCCUCAUCUCUCUACCAGCAACUAGCAAGAGG